AUUAUAUUCAGAAUACAACAUAGAUGACAUAUCAAAUGUUUAAACUGAGAAAAUGUAUCAUUUUAAGGGAAAAAUAAGUUGAUUUUAAAUUUCAUGGCAUCAACACAUCUCAAAAAAGUUGGGACAAGGCCAUGUUUACCACUGUGUGGCAUUCCCUCUUCUUUUUAUAACAGUCUGCAAACGUCUGGGAACUGAAGAGACAAGUUGCUCAAGUUUAUGUUAUGGCUUCUUUUUUCACCUAUAGAGUUUUAGCCGGCAACGGCAAAUGGCACUGUGGAUUGUGUUCACCGACAGUGUUUUCUGGAAGUAUUCCUGAGCCCAUGUUGUGAUUUCUAUUACAGUAGUAUUCCUUGGUGAUCCUCUGCCCAUCUUGACUUCUGAGAGACACUGCCACUCUGAGAGGCUCUUUUUUAUUGACCUAAUAAGUUGCAAAUUGGUACUCCAGCUGUUCCUUAUAUGUACAUUUAACUUUUCCGGCCUCUUAUUGGUAUCUGUCCUAACUUUUUUUUGGAAUGUGUAGCUCUCAUGAAAUCCAAAAUGAGCCAAUAUUUGGCAUGACAUUUCAAUAUGUCUCACUUUCAACAAUUGAUAUGUUAUCUAUAUUCUAUUGUGAAUAAAAUAUAAGUUUAUGAGAUUUGUAAAUUAUUCCAUUCCUUUUUUACUCACAAUUUGUACAGUGUCCCAACUUUUUUGGAAUCGGGUUUGUACAAAAGGAUGAGGAGGUCAAAGCUAACAAGAGAGCUACCCUGAGAUUCAUCAUCUUUUCUGGUACCAACUCUAAGUGACAGAUCAAUGCUAGAUCUCAGGAGGGUACUCACAACUGGCAGAUAGCCCUCUCCAUCUGGUACCGCAUAAGAAUCUUGACACUAGCUGGUUUCUAGUGGUUUUCCUGGGCCUCAGCCCCUGCCUUAACAGGAUGUCUGCUGCCAAGCAUGCCCUAGAAAGUCAAGUCAAGUCAAGUCAAGUCUGCUUUAUUGUCAAUUCUUCCACAUGUACAGUACAUACAUACAGAGAAUUGAAAUUGUGUUACUCUCAGACCCCCGGUGCAUACAGAUAACACUAACAGUAGAACAAUAAAUACAGAUAAUAAAAUAUAAAGUACAACUAUACAAAUAUGCAAAUAGGUAAUGUGAAAAGAAAGAUAAGUAAAGCAGUUCAUUGCAGGUAAGUAAUUAAGUGAUUAAGUGCUGAUUGAGCAUUAGUGAUGAACAGCUGUUAACAAACAGAAUCACUGAAGGAAAGAGGGACAAGAACUACAACUGACUUCAGCCACAGCCUUAGAUAAAAUAAACUGAAAUAAAAUACAUUAAAUCUCUCAAGAUCUGAUUAAACAACCCCACAAACAGCAUCACCAGCUCCACUUAUUAAUAACCAGACUGACUUUAUUUCUGUCAGACGUCUACAGAAGAUCUGAUUGAGAAUUAACUAAGGUUUAGAUGUUGAUUUAUUAUUUCAUUUGAAGUAACCAUGUUAGAGAUCAGUGUUUGCUUUAGUUGGGCUCUUGACCCUUGACUUCUGUCUUAGUUUUUUUUUUUCUCUGGGUGUUGUAACCAUGUGCUCCUGAAACAUAUUUGUUAUAACUCAAAAGCCCAGAGAAAAUGUGAUCAGUAGUAGUUUGUAGUAUAUUUAUGAAGAAAAUCAUCAGUUAGUGGACUGAUUUCAUUCGGAGUCUAAUCUCCGGUUAAAUGAAUGUUGUAAUGAUUCUGAGAGCCAGUGGUUCGAUUAGACUCAGACAUCGAGAAUCAGCAUAUGAACCUGAACAAUGGUGAAAAUGAACAAAAUAUUCAGAUAAAUCUCUGAACAUCACAAUAAAAGCAACUAAAGUCAUAACAAAAACAGCAAACAUAAAAGCAAAUAGUAAGAAUAAAAGAAAAUGGACAAUUCACCUGUAGUAUUUAUUCAUGCAGCAAUGAGUUUGAAUGAGUUUUGUACUACGAUAGUACCCAGUAUGCAUUGCAGCGUUUUUAUUUUUAAUUUUUUUUUAUGGUCACCAUGUUGAGGUUCUUAUGCUGCUUAUUGAUGUCUGUGUGUGACUGAUUGUCACAUUAGAAGAAAGGUGUGUGUACACAAACUGUUUGGGAAGUCCUUUAUAUUAACUAAUUACACAACACCUGUUUAAUCUGAGAUUAGACUCUGAACAGUUCAAUAAUUGAUGAUUGUCAUCACCAAUAUACAGUAUAAUAACCAACACCUGAUGAUAUUUUCUCUGGGCUUUUGAGUUAUAACAAAUAUGUUUCUGGAACACAUGGUUACAACAGUCAGAGGGGAAAAAAAAACUAAGAAGUCGAGGGUCAAGAGCCCAACUAAAGCAAACACUGAUCUCUAACAUGGUUACUUCAAAUGAAACUAAAUCAACAUGUAAACCUUAGUUGAUUCUCAAUAAGACCUUCUGUAGAUGUCUGACAGAAAUAAAGUCAAGUCUGGUUAUUAAUAAGAGAAGCAGGAGAUGCUGUUUGAGGUGUUGUUUAAUCAGAUCUUGAGAGAUUUAAUGUAUUUUAUUUCAGUUGAUUUCAUCUAAGGCUGUGUCUGAAGUUAGUUGUAGUAGUUCUUGUGUUUCUCUUUUCUUCAGUGAUUCUGUUUGUUAACAGCAGGUGUUCAUCACUAAUGCUCAUUUAGCACUUAAUUAAUAACUUAAUUACUUAAUUGCAAAGUUUUAAAACUUACAUGGUUUAAGCCAAGGGAAUAUUGUUUACUCAAACGGUUUGAGUCACGUGACUUGUCGGGUUUUGUUACGUCUCAUUCUGUUUUGUUUUCAUUCUGUUCCCGGUUCUGCUUUGCCUAAGUCCUAGUUCCUUGUUUGUUUCCAUGGUUGUUAAAUUGUUUCUAAUCCAUUCC
Long non-coding RNA from Cyprinus carpio carpio, 2835 nucleotides. The record is from Ensembl. NCBI's taxonomy places the organism in Eukaryota, Metazoa, Chordata, Actinopteri, Cypriniformes, Cyprinidae.